GUGCUUGCUUCGGCAGCACCUGUACUAAAAUCGGCACGAUACAGAGAAGAUUAACAUGGCCCCUGUGUGAGGAUGACAUGCAAAUUUGUGAAGCAUUCCAUAUUAAA
This 107-nucleotide small nuclear RNA is filed under the name Salvator merianae (Argentine black and white tegu). The record is from RNAcentral. Lineage: Eukaryota; Metazoa; Chordata; Lepidosauria; Squamata; Teiidae.